RNAcentral lists this ribosomal RNA (458 nucleotides) under uncultured bacterium. RNAcentral's name for it is "partial 16S ribosomal RNA". It matches the Rfam family "Bacterial small subunit ribosomal RNA", at positions 338 to 795 of the family's 1533-position model. The record is from RNAcentral.
CCUACGGGAGGCAGCAGUGAGGAAUAUUGGUCAAUGGGCGAGAGCCUGAACCAGCCAAGUCGCGUGAGGGAGUACUGCCCUAUGGGUUGUAAACCUCUUUUGUCGGGGAGCAAAAGCCGGACGUGUCCGGCUGUGAUAGUACCCGAAGAAAAAGCAUCGGCUAACUCCGUGCCAGCAGCCGCGGUAAUACGGGGGAUGCGAGCGUUAUCCGGAUUUUUUGGGUUUUAAGGGUGCGCAGGCGGAUUUUUAAGUCAGCGGUCAAAUGGUGGGGUUCACCCCCAUCCAGCAGUUGAAACUGGGGAUCUAGAGUGUGCUAGAGGUAUGCGGAAUGCGUGGUGUAGCGGUGAAAUGCAUAGAUAUCACGAAGAACCCCGAUUGCGAAGGCAGCAUACCGGUGUACAACUGACGCUCAGGCACGAAAGCGUGGGUAUCGAACAGGAUUAGAUACCCUUGUAGUC